Molecule: long non-coding RNA, 991 nt
Organism: Ostrea edulis (European flat oyster)
Lineage: Eukaryota; Metazoa; Mollusca; Bivalvia; Ostreida; Ostreidae
Exons: 4
Source: RefSeq, a predicted model, not a curated record
GAGACCGCAGGAUUAGGGGGAAAAAUCUGGUCUCCCUAAUAUUUUAGCAUCGUGCAGGUGCCAACUCACUGUACUUUCAAGGAUAAAUCUUAUGUAGUAGUAUCUUUAGAUUGUACUUUCAUAGAAUGCGUUAUCAGGAGUAGGCGCUUUCAGGUUUUAAGGACAGAAAAUAAAUUUUAAUUAUAGACUUUGUAUAUUGAAAAAUAAAGUAAACCUGCCUUAGGGAGACCAUCAAAAAUCGUUGUGAAAAAUCAAAAAUCGACUAUAUAUUUUAUUUUCGGUUUUUAAACAUUGUUUCUAUGACUAAUAGGCACAUAUCUGGACACUUGCUUUAUUUAAAAUUUUAUUAUUUAAAAACUUUAAAUUUUGUUGUUCGAUGAGAUUUUCAUUUUCACGAUUCCGAAAUUAACGCUCGGGCUCGGAGUUUUGUGUUCCGUAUCCAGUCACAUUGAGCGGAAAAUGGCGAAUUUAUCUUACGGGAAGCGCAUGGUAAGUUUACAAGGAUAAACAAAUCAACUAUUAUUUUUUUAUAGUGCAGAUUAAAACACAGCCAUAUUUCUGUCGGCUUUAAUAAGUAUCAAUGCGUUCAAUGAUUAGCUUUUCAAAAAAGCUUGCUGUCUUUUAGCCAAAUUUUAAAUAUGCAACCCAAAGCAACUCUUCAAGAGCAGUAAUAAUUAUAGAAUGUUUUCAUUAUGCAUAACUCCACGGUUUUUUGUUUUUGUUUUUUUGUUUUUUUGUUGUUUUGUACGUUUCACCAAAUCCAGAAAUCUCAAGUUUAUAGCUAGCACAGCAAGCGUUUAUGGUAACGCGAGAAAAUUCGGGAUGAGUUAAAAGCUGGACUUGAAAGUCAAGGCAUUUUGCAAAAGAAAGUAAAACGCCUGAAGCCUGAGGAAGAUGCCAAAUGGUGGUGUCAGGCUGGUCUUGACAAAGAUGGGUUCAAAGUAAAAUAUAUAUCUGACUAUAAAGGAUUUGGUGUAUUUGCCGAAAAAGA